AUCUGUGGAGAAGCAGAUAUAAAUAAAUAAGACGAGAAGACCCUAUGGAGCUUCAUUUUAUUAAUGCAAAUAAAAACUCAAAAGGCAUACAGGCCCUAGCCUGCUAUCCCUGUAUUACAAAUUUUGGUUGGGGUGACCUCGGAGCAUGACUCAACCUCUGAACAACCUAAACUAAGACUGCACUAGUCUAAGCGAAUUAAUAUAUAUUGAUCCAAUAAUAUGAUCAACGGAAUAAGUUACCCUAGGGAUAACAGUGCAAUCCUAUUCUAGAGUCCAUAACAACAAUAGAGUUUAUGACCUCGAUGUUUGAUCAGGACAUCCUGAUCGUGCAGCCGCUGCUUUUAAGGGUUCAUUUGUUCAACGAUUAGAGUCUUAGGUGAUCUGAAUUCAGAUCAGAGCAAUCCAGGUCGGUUUCUAUCUAUUUA
RNAcentral lists this non-coding RNA (425 nucleotides) under Gorilla gorilla gorilla (western lowland gorilla). Its description in RNAcentral is "Bacterial large subunit ribosomal RNA". It matches the Rfam family "Bacterial large subunit ribosomal RNA", at positions 2049 to 2648 of the family's 2925-position model. Lineage: Eukaryota; Metazoa; Chordata; Mammalia; Primates; Hominidae. The record is from Rfam by way of RNAcentral.